RNAcentral lists this ribosomal RNA (404 nucleotides) under uncultured Methylobacterium sp. Its description in RNAcentral is "bacterial SSU rRNA". It matches the Rfam family "Bacterial small subunit ribosomal RNA", at positions 355 to 776 of the family's 1533-position model. Lineage: Bacteria; Pseudomonadati; Pseudomonadota; Alphaproteobacteria; Hyphomicrobiales; Methylobacteriaceae. The record is from RNAcentral.
UGGGGAAUAUUGGACAAUGGGCGCAAGCCUGAUCCAGCCAUGCCGCGUGAGUGAUGAAGGCCUUAGGGUUGUAAAGCUCUUUCACCCACGACGAUAAUGACGGUAGUGGGAGAAGAAGCCCCGGCUAACUUCGUGCCAGCAGCCGCGGUAAUACGAAGGGGGCUAGCGUUGCUCGGAAUCACUGGGCGUAAAGGGCGCGUAGGCGGCCAGACAAGUCAGGGGUGAAAGCCUGUGGCUCAACCACAGAAUGGCCUUUGAUACUGUUUGGCUCGAGACCGGAAGAGGUUGGUGGAACUGCGAGUGUAGAGGUGAAAUUCGUAGAUAUUCGCAAGAACACCGGUGGCGAAGGCGGCCAACUGGUCCGGUUCUGACGCUGAGGCGCGAAAGCGUGGGGAGCAAACAGG